This 524-nucleotide ribosomal RNA is filed under the name uncultured bacterium. RNAcentral's name for it is "partial 16S ribosomal RNA". It matches the Rfam family "Bacterial small subunit ribosomal RNA", at positions 28 to 523 of the family's 1533-position model. The record is from RNAcentral.
GACGAACGCUGGCGGCGUGCCUAAUACAUGCAAGUCGAGCGCAGGAAAUCGACGGAACCCUUCGGGGGAAAGUCGACGGAAAGAGCGGCGGACGGGUGAGUAACACGUAAAGAACCUGCCCUCAGGUCUGGGAUAACCACGAGAAAUCGGGGCUAAUACCGGAUGGGUCAUCGGACCGCAUGGUCCGAGGAUGAAAGGCGCUUCGGCGUCGCCUGGGGAUGGCUUUGCGGUGCAUUAGCUAGUUGGUGGGGUAAUGGCCCACCAAGGCGACGAUGCAUAGCCGACCUGAGAGGGUGGACGGCCACACGGGGACUGAGACACGGCCCAGACUCCUACGGGAGGCAGCAGUAGGGAAUCUUCGGCAAUGGGCGAGAGUCUGAUGGAGCAACGCGGCGUGAACGAUGAAGGCCUUCGGGUCGUAAAGUUCUGUUGUAAGGGAAGAACAAGUGCCGCAGGCAAUGGCGGCACCUUGACGGUACCUUGCGAGAAAGCCACGGCUAACUACGUGCCAGCCGCCGCCGUAA